Molecule: RNA transcript, 793 nt
Organism: Mandrillus leucophaeus (drill)
Lineage: Eukaryota; Metazoa; Chordata; Mammalia; Primates; Cercopithecidae
Gene name: interferon-induced transmembrane protein 3-like
Exons: 2
Source: RefSeq, a predicted model, not a curated record
GCCAAGCAAAACAAAGGCUAAGAAGGGCAGAUCUGAUCUGGGAAAAAAAGAGACCAAGAAGCAAUGGCUCCUAAGAAAAUAACCUACCAGCGUCUCAGAAACUCCCUCUGUCUUCUCAUGUUUGAGGUUCUAUUCAGGAAGCAGGCACCAAAUGGAAAUAUGAAACCAUCCCAGCAACCCAAACACAGCUGGUUUUCCCUGGAUACCAUGAACCACACUGUCCAAACCCUCUUCACUCCCACCAACACUGGCCACCCCACCAACUAUGAGACGCUCAAGGAGAAGCAUGAGGUGGCUGUGCUGGGGGCGCCCCACAACCCUGUUUCUCCGAUGUUCACCGUGAUCCACAUCUGCAGUGAGACCUCUGUGCCUGACCACGUCAUCUGGUCCCUAUUCAACAUCUCUUCAUGAGCUCCUGCUGCCUGGACUUCAUAGCACUCCGUGAAGUCUAGGACAGGAAGUCUAUGGACAGGAAGGUGGUUGGCGACCUGACUGGGGCCCAGGCCUGUGUCUCCACUGCCAAGUGCCUGAACAUCUGAGCCCUGGCUCUGGGCAUCCUCCUGACCAUUCUGCUCAUCCUCAUCUCAGUGCUGAUCUUCCAAGUCUAUCGAUAGAACAGGAGGCAGCAUCCAGGCCAGGAGCUCUGUCUACAACGUGUCUCCCAUGUACUCCACCUUCCAUUCCUCGCCCUGCCCCCAGAACCCAGUCCUGUAUCAGCCCUUUAUCCUCACACAAUUUUCUACAAUGUCAUUCAAUAAAGUGCAUGUGUUCCUGGUGCAAAAAAAAAAAAAAA